AGAGGCGGCCCUAGCGCCAUUUUGUGGGAACGAAGUGGCACCAGGGCUGUUCUGAGAUCCCUCAGUGCUACCGUUUCCCUGUCGCGCUUUUUAGCAGCAGCCUAGAGGGUGAGUCGCGGGCGCUCCUCACUGAGACGCCCUAGGUGCGUCGGUUCUCGCACUGGGGACAGCCUAAGGCAGACGGAGCGGCUUCGGCCUCCGCCCGGGAGAAGAUAAAAGAUGUCUGAAUAUAUUCGGGUAACAGAAGAUGAGAAUGAUGAACCCAUUGAAAUACCAUCAGAAGAUGAUGGAACAGUGCUGCUGUCCACAGUUACAGCCCAGUUUCCAGGGGCAUGUGGGCUGCGCUACAGGAAUCCAGUGUCUCAGUGCAUGAGGGGCGUCCGCCUAGUGGAAGGAAUUCUACAUGCCCCAGAUGCCGGCUGGGGAAAUCUGGUAUAUGUUGUCAACUAUCCCAAAGAUAACAAAAGGAAAAUGGAUGAGACAGAUGCUUCAUCAGCGGUUAAAGUGAAAAGAGCAGUCCAGAAAACAUCAGAUUUGAUAGUGUUGGGUCUUCCAUGGAAAACUACUGAGCAAGAUCUAAAAGAAUAUUUUAGUACCUUCGGAGAAGUCCUUAUGGUGCAGGUCAAGAAAGAUCUUAAAACCGGUCAUUCAAAAGGGUUUGGCUUUGUUCGUUUUACGGAAUAUGAAACCCAGGUGAAAGUCAUGUCACAACGACAUAUGAUAGAUGGGCGAUGGUGUGACUGUAAACUUCCUAAUUCUAAGCAAAGCCCCGAUGAGCCUUUGAGGAGCAGAAAGGUGUUCGUUGGGCGUUGUACGGACGACAUGACUGCUGAUGAGCUGCGGCAGUUCUUCAGUCAGUACGGAGAGGUGGUGGAUGUCUUCAUCCCCAAGCCGUUCAGGGCUUUUGCCUUUGUUACCUUUGCAGACGAUCAGGUUGCCCAAUCUCUUUGUGGAGAGGACUUGAUCAUUAAAGGAAUCAGCGUGCACAUAUCCAAUGCUGAACCUAAGCACAGUAGCAAUAGACAGUUAGAAAGAAGUGGAAGAUUUGGUGGUAAUCCAGGUGGCUUUGGGAAUCAGGGUGGGUUUGGAAACAGAGGGGGUGGAGCUGGCCUGGGAAACAAUCAGGGUAGCAACAUGGGUGGAGGGAUGAAUUUCGGGGCUUUCAGCAUUAACCCAGCCAUGAUGGCUGCAGCCCAGGCGGCGCUGCAGAGCAGUUGGGGUAUGAUGGGCAUGCUGGCCAGUCAGCAGAACCAGUCAGGCCCGUCGGGUAAUAACCAAAGUCAAGGCAACAUGCAGAGGGAGCCAAAUCAGGCUUUCGGGUCCGGGAAUAACUCUUACAGUGGUUCUAAUUCUGGUGCUGCAAUUGGCUGGGGGUCAGCAUCGAAUGCAGGCUCAGGCAGUGGUUUUAAUGGAGGCUUUGGCUCAAGCAUGGAUUCCAAGUCUUCGGGCUGGGGAAUGUAGACGGUGGGUUAUGGGGAGUUGGUACAGAAAGGUGGGGAUUUUUCUAAACUCAUGGUAAGUAUAUUGUAAAAUACAUAUGUACUAAGACUUUUCAGAAUUGGUUUGUUCAGUGUGGAGUAUAUUCAGCAGUAUUUUUGACAUUUUUCUUUAGAGAAAAGAAAAGCUAAAGGAAUUUUAUAAGUUUUGUUACAUAAAGGGUUGAAAUAUUGAGUGGUGGCUGAAAGUGAACUGCUGUUUGCCUGAUUGGUAAACCAAGACACUACAAUUGGUAUCAAAAGGUUUCUCCUGUAAUAUUUUAUCCCUGAACUUGUUAUGUGAAUUCUUUGCAUGUUCAAAGUGUUAGCCAUUGAUUAGAAAUACAUUCUUUCUCCUUUUUAAUUUGAGCCCCACCAUAUAGAUUUUUUCCUUAGGAAAUCUCCUUUUGGGAGAUCAUGCUGUCACCGUGUUUGGUUCUUUUGGUUUUGUUUUAGCACUUGUCUCCCCUCACAUACAAAAGUACAAUAUGAAGCCUUCAUUUAAUCUCUGCAGUUCAUCUCAUUUCAAAUGUUUAUGGAAGAAGCACUUCAUUGAAAGUAGUGCUGUAAAUAUUCCGCCAUAGGAUUACUUCUGUCUACAUGCUUUCUCAUUCAAGAACUCGUCAUCACACUGCACGGGCCGCGUCUUUGACGGUGGGUGUCCCAUUUUUAUCCGCUACUCUUUAUUUCAUGGAGUCGUAUCAACGCUGUGAACGCAAGGCUGUGAUAUGGAACCAGAAGGCUGUUUGAACUUUUGAAACCUUGUGUGGAUUGAUGGUGGUGCCGAGGCAUGAAAGGCUAGUAUGAGCGAGGAAAGGAGAGCGCGUGCAGAGACUUGGUGGUGCAUAAUGGAUAUUUUUUAACUGGCAAGCUGUGUCUCUCAAUCCUGUGGCUUUGGUGAGAGUGUGCAGAGAGCAAUGAUAGCAAAUAAUGUACGAAUGUUUUUGCAUUCAAGGGACAUCCACAUCUGUUGGAAGACUUUGAGUUAUGUUCUUAGAUACCCACAUUAGUUGAAUGUGUUAAGUGAAAUGAUACUUGUACUUCCCUCCCCUUUGUCAACUGCUGUGAAUGUGUAUGGUGUGUGUUCUCCUCUGUUACUGACUUGUAAGUGUGGUAACGUGAACUGAAGCUGAUGGGUUGAGAACAUGGACUGAGCUUGUGAUGUGCUUUGCAGGAGUACUUGGAAGCAGAGUUCACCAGUGAGCUCAGGUGUCUCAAAGAAGGGUGGAAGUUCUCAUGUCUGUUAGCUCCCCAUAAGAAUGCUGUUUGCUGCAGUUCUGUGUCCUGUGCUUGGAUGCUUUUAUAAGAGUUGUCAAUGUUGGAAAUUCUUAAAUAAAACUGAUUUAAAUAAUAUGUGUCUUUGUUUUGCAGCCCUGAAUGCAAAGAAUUCAUAGCAGUUAAUUCCCCUUUUUUGACCCUUUUGAGAUGGAACUUUCAUAAAGUUUCUUGGCAGUAGUUUAUUUUGCUUCAAAUAAACUUAUUUGAAAAGUUGUCUCAAGUCAAAUGGAUUCAUCACCUGUCAUGCAUUGACACCUGAUACCCAGACUUAAUUGCUAUUUGUUCUUGCAUUGUCCAAAGUGAAGUUUUUUCCUUUUUCUUUUUUUAAAUCUAGUUUUGAAUAAGUCUGGGUGACCACACGUAAAAUGGUAAGCAGUACCCUCUAGCGUUUUCUUAGUGCCUCUGUGCAUUUGGGUGAUGUUCUGUUUACAUGGCCUGUGUGAAUCUCCAUUGGGAAAUCAUGCCUUCUAAAAAUAUUCUCAUUUGGAAGAGUGGGCAAACAGUGUUGAUCAUUUUCAAAUGCUUUGUAGCAAAGCAUAUCAAUAAAAAAGGGACCAUAAGUAUCUUUCUGCUGGGAUCUGAAAAGUGGAAUUAAUUGCAAUAGGGAUAAAGUAGAAGAAACCACAAAUUACCUUGUGCCUGAAGUCCAUUAAGAAGCCCGAUAGCUUUAAGAACGAGAAGGGUGGGUCGUCUGUCUGCAGAAGUGUUAAGUGGGCUUUGCCUUCCAAGGGGGAGGUAUAGUAAUGUUGGAUAAACUCGCUUGCAGGACUCAGAUCAGACUCAUGAUGCGUUGUUAAGAUGUAAAAGCAAUAAAUUGGUUCUCUGUUGUACUGUAUAUAUAUAUGUGUGUAACCACUGUGAGAACUGAGGAGUUUGUUUUCUAACUGGAAGGCUGUGCCUGCUCUUGUGUUGGUAGUUUAUCUGAUGCCCUUACCUACUUAAAUUAUGGUAAAUAGGUUUGUCAUUUUGCAAGUUGCGUGUUUUAAACAUUUAUAAACAAAGUCAUUCUUUUGACCUGUGAUUGCCACAUUGUUUUGCUAUUCAGUUUCUUCUGUAAAAGGAUCUUGAGUUGUUCUAAUAUUUUUUUUUUUCCUGCAUCUAAAUCUGCAUGAUUUCCAAACCCUGUACCAUCUGAAUUUUGCAUUUUAGCACUUGCACUGUUACUCAGCAGCAGUAACAUGGUAACACUUAAAAUGGUAUUCGGGGACCUCCAAAGACUAAACUGACAAGCCGUCAAGGAGCCCAGGGGUAAGUUAACUCGUCAAUGGCAUGGUUUUAAUCCCUUAUUUACACUUGUUAAAAGUAGUUAUUGGUCACACAAGGCUUUGAUGAACAUGUUGUGGUACUACAUACCCAUGGCUACUUAUUCUGCCCUUAAAAAAUUUUGGAGUUUAGAAGUAUUUAAACUAUUGGGCAAAGAUUUGUUUUUGAAAGUCUUAUUUGGUCAUCUAAAUGAAUUCAUUCUAAAAAAAAUUUUUUUUUGAACCACAGUUGAAUAAAAAGUUAUGUUGCCACCACAGUUUAGUGUCUGGAGUCUUACUGGAAAAAACUUUCUUUUUCAUGUGUGACAGUUACCUUUAAAAAGUUAAUCUCAAGCAAUUGUACUUUAUAUACACAAGAGAAAUUAGACCUAAAACUUAGAUUGAAUUUUUAUAUAUAAUUACACUGUUUAGACUGAAACUCUAUGAAAGGUUUACUGUUGAAACUCUUUAGGGACUAAUAACCAACUAAAAUCAAGUGAGAUUCUAAUGAAUAGUAUUAGGAAGAAGUAGGAUGUUAGCUCCUGAGUAGCUGAUUGGUGUGUGGUGCUUAGAACUGUCCUGCUGUUGCACGCUGGGGAGGUGGCUCUGCGCUGGGCGGGAGCUCUGCGCAUCCUGUGGCUGUGGGUGGGCGUGUCCGCUGUUGGGCUUACCUUUGCCCUAGUACUUCAUGCUCACUAAGCAGAAGGAAAUCUCCAGAUUGUUUCUAAUAGUACCAGGUGGUUUUGGUUUUGCUGUGGGGCUUACUGGGAAUCAAGCCAUUUGUUUUAGUAUAUUUUAUCAUGUAAAAAUAGUAGAUUUCAGUCUGAAACACCAGUUUUUAGGCUGUGUCCAGUUCCCAGAAACAUCUUUCCAGCUAAGUUAAAUUCUUAGCACUGGGCUUAGUAAAUCAAAGAUUAUGGGUGCUUUUAAGCUUUUUGAAAUACGUUACCAAGUUGUCAUUUAUUAAGUUUGUAUUGUCUUUGACAGUGUCCAUGUUCUUUUGUCUGUUUGACAAGUGAAAAAUGCUUUGCUUUUACUUUAUUUUUUAUUUGUCGGCAGUCUGAGGAUUACACCAGGAGUCGCCCUCCUUUUUUGUUUUUGUUUUGGAGACAGGGUCUCACCAUGGAAUCUAGACUGGCCUGGGCUCCCUUACGUAGCUCAGGCUGGCCUUUAACUCAUUGUGAUCCUCCUGUCUCAGCCUCAGUGCUGGGAUUACGGGUAGGCACCACCGUGCCCAGCAUUCUUUCCUGACAUUUUUUUGAGACAGGGUCUUGAUAGGUUGUCCAAGGUAGAACUCAAACUUGGACUCCUGCCUCUUCAGUGCUAGGAUUACAGGUUUGUGCCACUUUGCCCAGGUGUGGCAUUUGUUUGUUUUUGUUGUUUGGUACCAGGAAUUGAGGGACCUUGUGCUUGUCAGGCUGGCACUAAUGCCGCUGAGCCCUGUGGCAGUGUUGGUUUUUGACAUGGAAAUUGGUGUGCUAAUUCCUGAGCUAAGGAAUUAAUGUUUGCAAUCCCACCACCUCAGAGUAAAUUCUCAGAUAUUCCUGCACGUAGUACUGCUGUAAUGUGUAAAGCGCUCUUAGAGAUCGGUGAAGAACAGAAAGUGGAGCGUGGGUGUGCGGAAAUGCCAGCGGUCACUCGGCGAUGCAGCCUCGCGAGUGAGGCUGCACUGGCGAGGAGAGACAAGGAUCACGGUGGUGAUCGUGCGCCCCGGAGAGCAGCGCGGGUACGUGGGGGCGGAGAGCAGUGUUGAUAGUUCUUGGGUUACACUGCCGCUGAACCUUUCACAGGUUCUUCUAAAAUUCAGGAAUCACUUACUGAUUCAGACAUGUAAACUAGAAGUUACUAAUUAUGUCUUUGAUCCAGGGAAUAUAGUUAAUGACUUUGGUGUAUACCCCAUACUGAUCUGCUGCCCCGCAUGUAUUGGAGCCCCAGGACACAAUCCCGCCCACAAACCAUCUCUGUGUCUCAUUGUCUAGAAACACUAAUGCCCCUCCACUGUCGCCUCCACAGCUGUCCUUGCCCCCGGCUUCUAAGCCAGCGCACAGCAUGUUGGCGGUCACUGUUCCCCCUGGGUGCUGCCGCUUGUCGUACACAGCAGUACAUUUUUGGUGAUCCACAAUGGGCAGGUCCACAAACAUUAGGUUUCUAGCAGGAAAACCUCUUUGGGUUAAUCCCCAUCCAGAUGCAGUUCCAAUGUCAUUUGUCUUCAUCAGGGAUUCCGCUUCUUUUCUUGGCAGACAAAUUGGCAUGAUGUUGCUGUUGAUUACAACUUUAUUCUUCAGUUUAAUCAGUGCUAUGUCAUUGUCGAAACCAGCGUUGUGAAUGUAACCUUCGUGGAUAAACACAGCCUCGGCCCAGGCCCGUGUGUAAUGAGGUGAUAGUCUCUGCAGGGUGCCCAUUCGAAUGUCCAGGGAGGGUGCGUCAUCUUUUUGCCCAUAGACAGCAUGAGCAGCUGUUAGGAUCCAGUCAUCAAAUAAAAGUGCACCUGCUGCUGUAGUUUGGCCUAGUAGCAGGACUUGCCACGGAAAGUCACCAGGUUUUGCAUUCUGCCCUCCAAAUAUACGUCCUCUGGUAGUAAGGUUCGAUAGUCCACAGACUGGGAAAAGAAAAGAUCACAGCUCAGUGAUUUUUUUUUUUUUUUUUUUUUUUUUUUUUUUUUUUUUUUUUUCUUUUUGAGACAGGGGCUCACUGUUCAGUUUGGGCUGGGCUUGAGUUCACUUUGUAACCCUUCUCGAACUCGAAAGGAUCCUCCUUCCUCAACCUCCUGGGAUUACAAGUGUGCACCACCAUGCCCAGCACUCAAUGAUUUUUUUUCUCACAAGUAUUCUGCUCUGGCGGUGUGGGUAUUUAGUCAACCAAAAAUUACACCCCUUAAAUUGGGUGGCCUCCAUCCAGAUAAGUGUGUCAUCAUUCAAGAUCACAUAAAUGCAUUUGGUAUUUCUUACUCUUUAGAAAAUGAAUGAAAAUUAUCUCACAAAAAUUACUUUGGCCCAAAACAGUUUUGAGUGCCCAGCUUGAGGUUAAUACAUAGAGCAGAUGGGCAUGCUCAUGCUCAGGGCGGUGCGCUUACGGAGGCAAAUGGACAGCACCCACCGCCACCACUUUUCUUCUGGACACUGGGUUAUUUACAUGAAGGUCUGGGAAAGUAGCAACUACAACGACGGUCCCUGAGGAUUUGCAGAGUUACUUUCACGUUUGAUCAUACACACACAGAAAUGAGAAUGUUGCAGUUGUAGCCAGGACCCUUCAGGUUAAGGAAUUCGUAAUUUUGGACUGGUUUUGGUUCUUUGUGUAUUUUGGUGAUAGGUUCUCACUACAUAGUUCAGGCUGACUUUAAAUUCACAAUGUAGGCUGGGCUUGAACUUGCAUCAAUCCUUCUGCCUCAGUCUCCUGAGUGCAGGGAUUAUCAGCAUGUCCCACCAUGCCUGGUUUUUGGUUCAAACACUGAAAUGUCACUGUGUCCUUAUUGCAAACUUAAUUACACUCAUUAAUGGAGCAUGUGUGUUUCCUGUUGUGGCAGUAUACGUGCAUUAAAACUUACAAACUUCAGCCAAGUAUAGGUUUAAAAAAACUAAGCCAAAUAGCACAGGAGUAAUGAAUAUAUUAUUACUUUUAGUUUUUUUUUUUUAAUCAUUCUCAGCUGUUAUUGUUGGAGCCAAUUUGGGUAGAAAAAAAUUUAAGUACUAUUAAAAGGCAUAUUGCAUUAAUGUUUAAAAACCUAGAUGUCAUUGAAAACAAUUGCUUAGGGAAAUAAUGAAGUUAUUAGCUUUGGGUUUUAAUAAUAGCAUUUUUACAGAGAAGAAAAGUAACUCAACAGAAGAACUGUUUAUAAAUGUAUACAUGGUUCGAGAUAAUUUUAAAAAUCAUUUAAUUUUUUAUGCUUGCCUAGUUACAAGGUCAGAAAUAAUCAAAUGACUAAGGGCAGUCAGCACCUCCCAGCCUCUCCACACGGAAGGGGGUAAUGAGAACGUGAUCUCCGGGAAUAAUAACUUGGCCUGAGAGCCGAGCGCGCGAGGCUCACAGACGGGCAGCGAUUUUCCUCCUUGGGAGCUUGUCCAGAAUCCGUCAGCCUCACACACAUACUCACCUGCAAACCGUCGGAUAAGCAAAACUGUAACUGCGUGUGCGGGUGCUGUCAUGCGCGCGAAUCCCCCUGGAAAAAUGUUGAUUCUCGGGCACCGGUGGGAGGUGAAGGUGCGUGGGAACCGUUUUACAUGAUUUCAUAAAUAGGAAGUCUGCAUUACCAUGUUUGCUUGCGAAGUGGAAACCUUUUAGAUGUGUAACUUGAAUAUGUAUCAAGAUCUCAAGUGCUUAAUGAUAAGGUUUUGACUUGUUAAAUUAAACCAUUUGGAAUAUA
Cavia porcellus (domestic guinea pig) is the source of this 8354-nucleotide RNA transcript. It is a transcript of the gene named TAR DNA binding protein, with no coding region annotated. The record is from RefSeq and is a predicted model, not a curated record. The transcript is spliced from 7 exons. NCBI's taxonomy places the organism in Eukaryota, Metazoa, Chordata, Mammalia, Rodentia, Caviidae.